CAAACAAGACUUCCUUACGUGAUGUAAGGCGGCGCUUUCAGCAGCGUGCUGUAUGCUUGCAGCAGCUUGUUAUGUCAUCUCGGUAUAUGUAACUUGUACGUACGCACGUCGAUAACUGCAUUUCUUCGCGGGAGACAAAGAACUUCAGUAUGCUUGGAGCAGUGGUGGUUGGCAUCGGCAUAGCUGGUCAGGUGAGGAUUAGAGACCUGCUGGCACCACUACAUGGCAGUCCUGCAGAGAAACUUGCCGUGAGAGGAUUUAUAUCCAGGAGAAGCCUGGACCCUCUGCAGGGAGUGAGUCAGAUCUCACUGGAAGAGGCUGUGAGAAGAGAAGACAUUAAUGUGGCGUUCAUCUGUACUGAGAAUCUGUCACAUGAGGACAAUAUCAG
Long non-coding RNA from Archocentrus centrarchus (flier cichlid), 388 nucleotides. RefSeq lists it as uncharacterized. The transcript has 3 exons. The record is from RefSeq and is a predicted model, not a curated record. Lineage: Eukaryota; Metazoa; Chordata; Actinopteri; Cichliformes; Cichlidae.